RNAcentral lists this ribosomal RNA (253 nucleotides) under uncultured bacterium. Its description in RNAcentral is "partial 16S ribosomal RNA". It matches the Rfam family "Bacterial small subunit ribosomal RNA", at positions 524 to 776 of the family's 1533-position model. The record is from RNAcentral.
UACAGGGGGUGCAAACGUUGCUCGGAAUUAUUGGGCGUAAAGCGCGCGUAGGCGGCCACUUAAGUCGGAUGUGAAAGCCCCUGGCUCAACUGGGGAAGUGCACCCGAAACUGAAUGGCUUGAAUGCAAAAGAGGGUCGCGGAAUUCCCGGUGUAGAGGUGAAAUUCGUAGAUAUCGGGAGGAACACCAGUGGCGAAGGCGACUACCUGGCCUGUUCUUGACGCUGAGGCGCGAAAGCUAGGGGAGCAAACGGG